UACGGAGGGUGCAAGCGUUGUCCGGAUUUAUUGGGUUUAAAGGGUGCGUAGGCGGUCUUUUAAGUCAGUGGUGAAAUCCUGCAGCUCAACUGUAGAAUUGCCAUUGAUACUGAAAGACUUGAGUACAGACGAGGUAGGCGGAAUUUAUGGUGUAGCGGUGAAAUGCAUAGAUACCAUAAAGAACACCUAUUGCGAAGGCAGCUUACUAGGCUGUAACUGACGCUGAGGCACGAAAGUGUGGGGAUCAAACAGG
This 253-nucleotide ribosomal RNA is filed under the name uncultured bacterium. Its description in RNAcentral is "partial 16S ribosomal RNA". It matches the Rfam family "Bacterial small subunit ribosomal RNA", at positions 524 to 776 of the family's 1533-position model. The record is from RNAcentral.